RNAcentral lists this transfer RNA (87 nucleotides) under Waddliaceae bacterium. Its description in RNAcentral is "tRNA-Ser". It matches the Rfam family "tRNA". From Rfam's summary of the family: Transfer RNA (tRNA) molecules are approximately 80 nucleotides in length. Lineage: Bacteria; Pseudomonadati; Chlamydiota; Chlamydiia; Parachlamydiales; Waddliaceae. The record is from RNAcentral.
GGAAAGGUGGCUGAGUGGCCGAAAGCGCAUCCCUGCUAAGGAUGAGUACCCUAACGGGUACCGUGGGUUCAAAUCCCACCCUUUCCG